GACCAGCCUCGCCUGUCUACAACCUCCCUUCAGGUUUCUCCAGAAUAAACAACCCCAGUUCCCUUGGAUGCUCCAUGAUCACAUCUCCACUCCAAAUUAGCAGGUCUUCACACAGGAAUGAAGAACACUGUUCUCCAAGACUUCAGGAGACAAGGACCUACACAGUUACAUCCCAUGAGAAAUUCAAAUUACUGGUUUGGUGACUUAUCUGGUUGCUCUGGUGGCACUUCAGGACUCAGCAGGGUGAAGCUACAGCAUGAGGAAAGGGACAUGAUGUGUCCCUGGACUGUGUUCCUGCUGCCAAGGAAGCUCAUAGUGGCUGACAAAUGUACAGACAAAGCUGCAGGGCAUGGAGCUUCAGAGCCAGCGCUUGUGACUGCUCACACUUCCAGGCACAGAUGCACAUCUGGUCACAGCUGUACUUUGAAAGACACAGAAAUUGCUGGUGUCAUUGCUUGUGUCUUGUCUAGAGUGAAAAUCUGACCAAGAGCCAAGCAAAGGAGGACUGUGGAGGCUAUUCCCUGUAUUGGAUCUUGUCUAAUCACCUGCAUGUCACUUUCAUAGAAGUUCUGUAACCAGUCCCUGAUGAACAUGUUUGCUACAGAAUAAAGACAAUGCAUAGACCUACAAUUUUGCUUCCUCUUCUUCUUCUAGCUUAGAAGUGAAAAGAAAACAGUAUUAAAGUGAAGCAAAGUUGAAUGACUGCUUUUUCCUCCCCUCUUUUCCAAGAGAGUGUGGAUGUUGCACUCACCAUUUGCCAAAGCUGAGAGCUACACAAACACCCCACCAGGACCAGAAUCAUCCUUCACUGCUUUUCCUGCCCAGGCAAUCUCAAUGCUAAGUACAAAGAGAAGUAGUGCUUCCUAAAGACACCAUUAAAAAAGCAGUUAAUAUAAAAGAAAGGGAGACUUUUCCCCUAAUUUCUGUAAAGAAUGUCAGUUUCCUUUUAAGAGUUUGCCUUUCACAAAUAACCAAUUUUAAAUUACUGAAAAUUCAAAAGGAUUAUAUUGAAAAAAUCUCAGUUUUUACUUCAGGUGGACCUAAUUUUAUUUUGACUCUUCAUAAUUAGAUGGGGAACACAUUUUGUGAUUGGAAAUAUAUAUAAUAUAAAACAUCAAAGAAAAAUUGCAUAUAAGAGCUAUCUAUAAAUUCCAUUAAGGUAAAAUAUUAAUUUUUCAAACUUGAAUGGACAGUUUUAACUUCAACAGGAUCCUUCAUUUUCACAUAAUCUUAGGAUAUGAUAUUUUAAGGUUGACAAUGCAGCACAUUGUAAGAGAAUAUUUGACUGAAAAAUCACCACUAAAUAAAAAUGCAGGCAGAUCAGGUCAGGGCCAUUUUGCAUUCAUUCAGGACAAAGGGAAGUGUUUCCUCUCAGGGUCCUUGCCCUUGCCAAGCCUGAUGCUGUUGGCAGCAGCAGCUCCAGCUAAUGUAAAAUUAAUUUUACAUUAGUUGAAGAGUGGUGGGUAAAUUUGCUGGUAUCAGCCAUUGCACCCUGCAGCACAUAAGCUGCUGCUGUGAAUAAAAGACUGGCUGGGCUCCUCUGGAGAGCAUCUUCCUUCACACCGCCUUGGCCUGGCUCUGCAAAAACACCUCCGGAGCUGGUAACCAUCUCCCAGCCCUCGGGCUUGCACACGAACCUCCGCUGUGAAGUGCUGGCACACGACUGAAAGGCUUUUUGCGUGUUAAACUUAAUGAUUUGCUGUGCCUAAACCGAGGCAGCUGCAGGACUGCCCCUGCCCAGCCCUGUGCUACGAACAUCACCCACAAGGAGGAGCCCCACUUACAAAUAAUUCAUUUAGAGAAAAUACCAGAGUUCUGCCUUGGCCGUACCCAGGCUAAAGAGAUUAGCGAAGAACCACUCACUGAUAAAAGAAACAGUGGCGUUCUUUUCAACUAAACUCCCAACAGAAGGAAGAUUCGCCAGAUAGGGGAUGUUUGCCUAAUUACAUUAUCCCAACUUUUCCCAAUUACAAGGAGAACAAAUGUUUUGUGACUGGAAAUGAACCCAAAGAGAAGGAACA
Pyrgilauda ruficollis (rufous-necked snowfinch) is the source of this 2021-nucleotide long non-coding RNA. RefSeq lists it as uncharacterized. The transcript is spliced from 3 exons. Lineage: Eukaryota; Metazoa; Chordata; Aves; Passeriformes; Passeridae. The record is from RefSeq and is a predicted model, not a curated record.